AGAGUUUGAUUCUGGCUCAGGAUGAACGCUGGCGGCGUGCUUAACACAUGCAAGUCGAACGAAGCAACUAUCUUGCUUGCAAGAGAGUUGACUUAGUGGCGGACGGGUGAGUAACGCGUGGGUAACCUGCCUCAUACAGGGGGAUAACAGUUGGAAACGACUGCUAAGACCGCAUAACCCGCUAGUGUCGCAUGACACGGACGGAAAAUAUUUAUAGGUAUGAGAUGGGCCCGCGUCUGAUUAGCUAGUUGGUAAGGUAACGGCUUACCAAGGCGACGAUCAGUAGCCGACUUGAGAGAGUGAUCGGCCACAUUGGGACUGAGACACGGCCCAAACUCCUACGGGAGGCAGCAGUGGGGAAUAUUGGACAAUGGGGGAAACCCUGAUCCAGCCGACGCCGCGUGAGUGAAGAAGUAUUUCGGUAUGUAAAGCUCUAUCAGCAGGGAAGAUAAUGACAGUACCUGACUAAGAAGCCCCGGCUAACUACGUGCCAGCCGCCGC
This 501-nucleotide ribosomal RNA is filed under the name uncultured bacterium. RNAcentral describes it as "bacterial SSU rRNA". It matches the Rfam family "Bacterial small subunit ribosomal RNA", at positions 8 to 518 of the family's 1533-position model. The record is from RNAcentral.